Molecule: transfer RNA, 74 nt
Filed under: Planctomycetota bacterium
Lineage: Bacteria; Pseudomonadati; Planctomycetota
Description: Planctomycetes bacterium (activated sludge metagenome) tRNA-Val
Rfam family: tRNA
About the family: Transfer RNA (tRNA) molecules are approximately 80 nucleotides in length. Their secondary structure includes four short double-helical elements and three loops (D, anti-codon, and T loops). Further hydrogen bonds mediate the characteristic L-shaped molecular structure. tRNAs have two regions of fundamental functional importance: the anti-codon, which is responsible for specific mRNA codon recognition, and the 3' end, to which the tRNAs corresponding amino acid is attached (by aminoacyl-tRNA synthetases). tRNAs cope with the degeneracy of the genetic code in two manners: having more than one tRNA (with a specific anti-codon) for a particular amino acid; and 'wobble' base-pairing, i.e. permitting non-standard base-pairing at the 3rd anti-codon position.
Source: RNAcentral
GGGCGAUUAGCUCAGUUGGUUAGAGCGCUACCUUCACACGGUAGAAGCCACAGGUUCGAAUCCUGUAUCGCCCA